Long non-coding RNA from Brassica napus (rape), 2269 nucleotides. RefSeq lists it as uncharacterized. NCBI's taxonomy places the organism in Eukaryota, Viridiplantae, Streptophyta, Magnoliopsida, Brassicales, Brassicaceae. The record is from RefSeq and is a predicted model, not a curated record. The transcript has 6 exons.
CUAACUAAAAACCAUUUUGUAUAUUUAAAAAGUAUUGGGAUUACAAGAUAAAUAACAAAUAAGUUUUGGACCACAUUUGCAAAAACGCCCAAAAUAACCAUUGUUGCUCUCAGCUUUGACGUGCCAGUUUCAGAGAGCAUCGGAGAGGCAGGAACGUCACGGCGAUGAUGAAUCAUGACAAGGAAAGAUGAGCUGAGGCACAGUGCGGCGGAUCGAGAGUUUCUGGUAAAAGCUGAAGAAAAGGGAAUCUCGACCAACGAUGGAUCCCGAGCUCGAACCACCACUGGUUCACUUUGCGGCGACAGACCAUGACAGUGUAGACACGGCGGUGAGCACAAACCCCGGAGGCGGUGGAAAGUUGCAAAGAUGCGAAGAAAAAGCUUUGAUGAUUUCUGUUUCUUCUCUGGUUUUAAGUUUCAAACGUGUGGUCCCAAGAAAAAAGAAAUGUGACUAGUUCUUAAAAAUUGUGGGACCAUUUUAGUUAGCUCAGUCAUUGUAGUUACUAGAAACUACCUCAGUAGUCAUAAGUGCUCUAGAAUGUAAUAAAAAGACAUAAAGUGUCCUAUUGUGUUAAUAACUCAUUUUUUAAUUCUCUUGAUAAAACGUAUAUACUCCGUCUCUUUCAAAAUAAUACAUAUUUUAGAAUUUUACACAUCUAACCUAUACUAAAAGGGAUAUAUGAGGAGUAGGGAGACUGCCACGUCUGCAAAUAAAAUCAUCCAAUCAUUAUGUGACAUGUCAGCCAAAACUACAUACUCAUCUCAACUAUAGGAUACCUUUCGUCUUCUCCACGAGUCCUUGCAAAAAUUGGAUUGUUACAUCUUCCAAAAAUUCUUCGUUCGUUUGGCUUAAUUCCAGGGAGAUAUUAAAUCACUCAUUUAUUUAUUCAUUUUCUUUCCCUUUGAUAAAGCAUUCUACAUCCAAUCUCCAAGAUCCAGAUUUCUCUUCAGAUGACCCUGGAAGUUCUCUUUGCAGUGGCCGGACCGUGAAGUGCGGUGCAGAUGCAGCACACGGCGGGCGACUACUUUCCCUUAUCGGCAAAAAGCUUUAUCUCCAUUAGAGUUUUGAUGCAGAAUAUUGCGGAGCCAUAAGUCCAAGAAAGGUUAUUGUGCACAUCUUUCUUGACUUUCUAUAAGUUCUCAUGUUUUAAUAUUGAGACACUGUAGAGAAACGUCUGAAAGGUGCGGUGGAUAGAGCUAAAGAGAGUUCUCAAGACAAAGAAUACUUAAUUAUAUGUUUCAGCAAUUUUAUAAAACGGCAAAUCCAAAGAUCCCUUUGAAACUACAUGACCAGAGAUAUGAGAAUAUACAAAGAUAAUGUCGAAUUGGAACUGGUGGUCGUUGGUGUUGAGCCAUCAGAAAGAAGUACAAUUUCUGUAGACAGUACUGGGGGUUAAGUUACUUGAUGAAGUGUUCUAAGGUAUUGGGUUGGUACUUUGUGCGGGGGGGGGGGGGGGGGGGGGGGGGAACAUAAUACAUACAUCAGGUCGAGAUUUCAUCUGGAGCUGCUGUAGUUGCAGCAAUUAGCUUAUCUAAAAGGGCCUGCAUUCGCAGGGAAACUCAUCAUCAUCACGGUAAAUAAAUAAUAGAUUUCACUUUCCUGUAAUCGUGUUACUGGUUUAGUUUUUGAGCUUUCGAUUUACUAAGAAGUAUGUGACACAAGAGAAAGUGAUGGAAUAGCUUCGUCAGAUGAAUUGAAACAAAGAGGAUUUGAUAUACUAAUGCUAUCUGAAUUGAUGGAGCUGGAGGCUAUGAAAUCAAGUUCUCAGCUAAACCAUAUGGUGCUUCCUCGGUUCUUAAAUUGAAACAUGAAUAGGCAAGACAGUUUUGGAUCUGGUGAAGAAUAUUAUGGAUCAAGCUUUCUCUGUGAAAUUGAAUGGUCAUGUACUCAUGUUCAGUUCUCCUCAAAUAGUAAUGCUGAGUUGAAUGAUCUUCUUUCGAUUAUUUCUGAGUUCAAUUUGACAAAAUAUUCAGCAAAAUGGAGGCAGCUCUCACCGCUUAUCUCGCAUUUUCAGAGAUUAUAGCUUUGAAGGAAUGAGACACAGAUUAGUCUCUGAGGAAGCAAAAGCCACAACCAAGUACUUUAUUUCCUGAUCUGAAACAUCGUAUAUCCUAUGUAAAUUAGAUGUCUCUUUGAUGACCUGAAGAACAUAUAAAUUGUUUUUGUGUUGUGAGUCAAGAAAAAGAUUACACGAUUUGUAAUGUGGAGUGAUGUAGUAAAUAAUUAUUUGUUUGUUUUACUAUUCAAAUAAUAUUUGUGAUUUUGUGGA